AACUCUGGAGAGUCUUUGAAAUAGAAGCGCCGAAGGUGUACGGCAGGAAGCUGCCAAUCUCUCAGGCAAAAGGACAGAGCAU
Molecule: non-coding RNA, 82 nt
Filed under: pig gut metagenome
Description: Glycine riboswitch
Rfam family: Glycine riboswitch aptamer
About the family: This family represents the bacterial glycine riboswitch. Glycine riboswitches usually consist of two metabolite-binding aptamers domains with similar structures in tandem. The aptamers cooperatively bind glycine to regulate the expression of downstream genes.
Source: RNAcentral